RNAcentral lists this ribosomal RNA (627 nucleotides) under uncultured bacterium. RNAcentral's name for it is "bacterial SSU rRNA". It matches the Rfam family "Bacterial small subunit ribosomal RNA", at positions 56 to 675 of the family's 1533-position model. The record is from RNAcentral.
UGCAGUCGAGCGGUAACAUUUCUAGCUUGCUAGAAGAUGACGAGCGGCGGACGGGUGAGUAAUGCUUGGGAAUAUGCCUUAUGGUGGGGGACAACAGUUGGAAACGACUGCUAAUACCGCAUAAUGUCUACGGACCAAAGGGGGGGAUCUUCGGACCUCUCGCCAUUUGAUUAGCCCAAGUGAGAUUAGCUAGUUGGUGAGGUAAUGGCUCACCAAGGCGACGAUCUCUAGCUGGUUUGAGAGGAUGAUCAGCCACACUGGGACUGAGACACGGCCCAGACUCCUACGGGAGGCAGCAGUGGGGAAUAUUGCACAAUGGGCGCAAGCCUGAUGCAGCCAUGCCGCGUGUGUGAAGAAGGCCUUCGGGUUGUAAAGCACUUUCAGUAAGGAGGAAAGGAAUGUAGUUAAUAACUGCAUUCUGUGACGUUACUUACAGAAGAAGCACCGGCUAACUUCGUGCCAGCAGCCGCGGUAAUACGAGGGGUGCAAGCGUUAAUCGGAAUUACUGGGCGUAAAGCGUUCGUAGGCGGUUGAUUAAGCAAGAUGUGAAAGCCCAGGGCUCAACCUUGGAACUGCAUUUUGAACUGGUCAACUAGAGUACUGUAGAGGGUGGUGGAAUUUCCAGUG